Molecule: long non-coding RNA, 1139 nt
Filed under: Marmota monax (woodchuck)
Lineage: Eukaryota; Metazoa; Chordata; Mammalia; Rodentia; Sciuridae
Source: RNAcentral
GUUAAAGUUGGGUUCUUAUGGCAGAAAUGUUGAGAAAAUUUAGUACACCAUGUACUGUGACAAUCCAAAGGGGAAGAUGACUAUGGUGAUUCCAAAUUUAGGCGACAUAGGAACCCCAUUUUUGCUGAUAUUUUAUGGGGUUAGCUUUUCACGUAGCUUCUCUGUCUCUCUGUCUUAAAAAAAAAAAAAACAGCUUUCUUGAGAUAUGAUUCAUAUACCAUACAAUUCACUCAAAUUUAAAAUGUACAGUUUAAUUAUAAUUAGUAUGUUCAGAGGUAUGUGCAAUUUGUUAUGUGUUUGUGUGUGUAUAUAUACAUGUUGACAUAAUCUGAACGCAUCCCCCAGAUCCAUAUGUAAACUAAACAGCCACUGCGAUAGGUGGUAUUCAAAGUUGGAGUCCUUGGGAGGUGAUUAGGUCAUGAGGGCAAAGAUGUCAUGAAUGGGAUUAGGACUUUUCUAAAAGGGUUUGAGGGAGUGGAUCCACUCUCUUCUGUUUUUCUACUAUGUGAGGACUUGGUGUGUGUGUCCUCUCUGGAGGAUGCAGCACAAGACACCUCUUGGAAGCAGAGCACAGCACUCAGAGGAUACAGAACCUGUUGGCACCUUGAUCUCGGACUUCCCAGCCUCCAGAACCGUGAGCAGUACAUUUCUACUAUUUAUAAAUUUAACAGACUGUGAUAUUUUAUUAUAGCAGCACAAACAGACUUAAGAAAUUUGUGUCUAAAAUGGGUUGUUACUAUAACUAAUACCUAAAAAUUGGGAAGUAGAUGCUGGGAUUAUUUAGAAGUGUGUGCUAAAAACAAAACAAAACAAAACACCAGAUUCUGUGAAUAGUCUGAUGGGCGAUUCUGAUAAGGGCUCAGAAGAAGAGAAGCUGUAUAGAGAGCACAAGUCUUAGAAAUUAUCAAAGUGGUUGUAAUCAGAAUGCUUGUAGAAAUACAGCGAGUAAAAGACAUUCUGAUGAAGUCUAAGAAAUGAGGAGUAUUUUUUAGAAACUGGAAGAAGGAUCAUUCUUACUAGAAAGUGGCAAGGAACUGGGCUGAAUUGUGCUCUUGUCCUAGGGCUUUGUGGAUCACGGAGUGAAAGAGCAGUGAACUCUUUGAUUCAGAUAACCUGAAGAGCAGGAUAUUUGGCAGAAG